UAUUGCACAAUGGGGGGAACCCUGAUCCAGCGCCGCCGCGUGAGUGAAGAAGUAUCUCGGUGUGUAAAGCUCUAUCAGCAGGGAAGAAGAAAUGACGGUACCUGAGUAAGAAGCCCCGGCUAACUACGUGCCAGCAGCCGCGGUAAUACGUAGGGGGCAAGCGUUAUCCAGAAUCACUGGGUGUAAAGGGAGAGUAGACGGUGAUGUAAGUCUGGAGUGAAAGGCGGGGGCCCAACCCCCGGACUGCUCUGGAAACUAUGUGACUGGAGUGCAGGAGAGGUGAGCGGAAUUCCUAGUGUAGCGGUGAAAUGCGUAGAUAUUAGGAAGAACACCAGUGGCGAAGGCGGCUCACUGGACUGUAACUGACGUUGAGGCUCGAAAGCGUGGGGAGCAAACAGG
RNAcentral lists this ribosomal RNA (399 nucleotides) under uncultured bacterium. Its description in RNAcentral is "bacterial SSU rRNA". It matches the Rfam family "Bacterial small subunit ribosomal RNA", at positions 362 to 776 of the family's 1533-position model. The record is from RNAcentral.